UGUGGGAGCGAGCCUGCUCGCGAUAGCGUUAUAUCAGUGAAAGAAGUGCUACCUGAUAACCGCUAUCGCGAGCAGGCUCGCUCCCACA
Molecule: unclassified non-coding RNA, 88 nt
Filed under: Pseudomonas corrugata
Lineage: Bacteria; Pseudomonadati; Pseudomonadota; Gammaproteobacteria; Pseudomonadales; Pseudomonadaceae
Source: RNAcentral